GACCUGUCCUGCCCAAGGGGACCAGGAAUGGGCUUUCAGCAGGUCCCCUCUCAGGAGGAAGCAGGAGCUCUCAGGAAUCGUUGCAGGGUCACUGUCAGCACCCCUCUGCCACUGUGCAAGGAUCACUGAACAGGACAUGGGCAACUCUCUGGUGACCCAGUGAGACCAGUGCCCUCCAGUUUGAACCAGCACACACAGGGCAAGGACUACUGGGACCUGCAAGUCCUGCCACGAGGUCUGUGUAGGGUGGUCUUGGCAGAGCAGCACCAGGCUGGAAGGGCACAGAGCAGCAAAUGGGGCUGCAGGGCCACCACAACCUCAGUUUCCCCAUCCACCAAAAGGUGCUGGGACUGAGAUGACAGCACAUGGAGAGGGGAAAACCCUCCCUCAGAGGCUGCUGUGGAUUUGGGGUGCAUUCACCACAUGUGUGCAUGUUCCCUGCUGGGCAGAGGGUCCCUGCAGCAGCAGGACUGGGAUGGUCAGGACUAUCCCAAACUCUUACCGAGGCCAGAGCCUUCCCGAGCGCGUCUCCGGAGCUCCCGGCUGUGGUUCCUCUGUUACCUGCCAAGAGACACAGAUGCCACUGCCAGGACCCCAGAGCCCAGCAGGACACAGUACCCUACAGGGCCUUCUCUGGGGCACCUGCUCUGGGGUGGAAAUUUUCUGCUUUUAGUGCUUUGCUUGAAAAUUAAAUGUUUGUCCAGCUCGGACAUGGGGCACCUUCCCCUGGAAGCCAUCAAGGGGCUGCAGGGACAUCUCUGCAAGCCCUGGGCUGGAGGUGUAGUGCCACCAACAGCAAUCAGACAUCUCUGCUGCAGCACAGCCACUGCCAUGGGGCAUCUCAAACCCCAAUAGCCACCAAGGCACUGGAUGAACCUAGAGGUCUCUUCCAACUUUAAUGAUACUUUCAUUCCAUGAAUCCCAAACUUCCUUCUCUAUAGAAAAACAAGGUAUUUUCUACAAA
Molecule: long non-coding RNA, 964 nt
Organism: Passer domesticus (house sparrow)
Lineage: Eukaryota; Metazoa; Chordata; Aves; Passeriformes; Passeridae
Exons: 2
Source: RefSeq, a predicted model, not a curated record